This 354-nucleotide ribosomal RNA is filed under the name uncultured archaeon. RNAcentral describes it as "bacterial SSU rRNA". It matches the Rfam family "Archaeal small subunit ribosomal RNA", at positions 347 to 701 of the family's 1478-position model. The record is from RNAcentral.
ACUUUGCAAUGCUGGCAACAGCGAUAAGGGAACCUCGAGUGCCAGGUUACAAAUCUGGCUGUCGAGAUGCCUAAAAAGCAUUUCAUAGCAAGGGCCGGGCAAGACCGGUGCCAGCCGCCGCGGUAACACCGGCGGCUCGAGUGGUAACCGUUAUUAUUGGGUCUAAAGGGUCUGUAGCCGGCCGGAUAAGUCUCUUGAGAAAUCUGGCAGCUUAACUGUCAGGCUUUCAGGAGAUACUGUCUGGCUCGAGGCCGGGAGAGGUGAGAGAUACUUCAGGGGUAGGGGUGAAAUCUUGUAAUCCUUGAAGGACCACCAGUGGCGAAGGCGUCUCACCAGAACGGACGUGACGGCAAG